Molecule: long non-coding RNA, 1324 nt
Filed under: Mytilus galloprovincialis (Mediterranean mussel)
Lineage: Eukaryota; Metazoa; Mollusca; Bivalvia; Mytilida; Mytilidae
Source: RNAcentral
GUUGUAUUGUAAUUCUGAGAUCAAUCAGCAUACAUGUAUAGUUGUAGAUGUUCCUGAUGUUUUAGUGUUCAUAGUGUACUGCAAGUAAUUUCUCAUUGUGAGCUCUGUAGAGUCUGACAAUAAACUAAGUGUAUAUACAUAUGCCUAGAAGCAAGAAACAACCUAAGACAAAACUCUAUAAGAUAAACCAAGUAUGUGCACAGCUUAAAAAUGAUGCCAUAUAUUCUACUAUAAGGCAUAACAGGUUACUGAGUACUGUAAAGACUCUGCUUAGUAUCAUCCUAUGCAUUGACAUAUACCCCAUAUUUGCAAGGGAGUGCAGCUUCUCAUAUACCAAUUUCUACAUUUACAUGUAUGGAUAAUUUGACGACGGAUCUUACCACUAGUAUAGUAAUAAGAAAGGUGAUGUCGACUUACUAUUUUGAUUCUCGAUUAUAUCACUCCCUAAUGUAAUAAUUAGACAAAACUAAAGUAGUUAAUAAUUUCUAUUAAUAAAAAACAUAAUAUCAAAAUAUUUACAUACACAAUAAAUCACUCAAAAUUACUCUAAUCAGAAAGAUUAUACUAUAUUACAUAACUUCUUAAUACAAAAUAACUAAAAACUUAUACUUGAUUUGGGUUUGGGGCAGACUCAGCAUUUUCUAAAUUACUGACAUAAUUAAACUCGGUGUAGCAGCUAUUGGAAAGCUUUUAGAACAUAAGAGUAAGUGUUUACUCACUGUAAAUGCUGUAGCUUAGGCUACAAGAGCCGGAAUAACAAUGUCAGUAAUGCACAUGGAAGUAAUGCUCAACUCGGUGUAGCGGUCAACUCGGUGUAGUUAGCUACAAGAGCCGGAAGCAAUGUUAGAUGCUACUCGGUGUACCCAGAACUACAAGAGCCGGAAGACAAGUGUGCUACAAGAGCCGGAAGAGCAUUACUUCAAAUUGAUGUGGAUGAAGAUAGCAAAACUGCUAGACAAAUUUAAUAGCCCAUUCAAAUAUUAAUGUACAUGUACUGUACAUGGAAACAAAUGAAAACUACAGAAUUUUGGGGAAUUAAUGAAUUAUGUAUUCCCAUUACCAGAUUAAUUAAUUAAUACGGCCAUAAAUCAGAUUGAAUACAUGAAAUGUAUGCGGUCUGAGUGCCCCAAAAUUAAGUAAAAGUUAUAACAACCAAAGAUAUAAAUCAAAACAAUACAUUUAUAUACAUGCAAUCUUAUCAUUGUUAAUACAUGUAUCAUACUACACUACAUAAGUCCUAAUUAUUCCUAAACCUAAAUGACGACAGACAUAGAAGUGAUCCUAGAUCGAUCCGCAAUAUAGUAUACUGUAAAACUAGUACAAU